ACUGAUAGCCGCUCACUGAGGAGUCCCACCUGACCCUGGUGAGGGUAGAUAGAAGCUGUGAUUCAGUGUUGUUUUUGCUCUGCAUGGUUACCAGAGAGACAGUGACCUUCAAUCUCUCACUUCACCUUUUGUGGGUCUAUGAUUCUUAUUAAGAGGGCAGAUGGCAUUUUUCAUAAUAAAUUUCUGGGGUUGUCUUGGAUCACUGAAUUACUGAGAAUAACUAUGUCAUUCACGAUUGUUUGUCAUCACUGUGUACAAAGACCUGGUUCUACUCACUGCACUCUGCUUCAGUUAAUAUUUCAUCUACUUUUAGAUGUGACAUCUCAAUCAACUACUAUGUUGUCCCAAUUCAAUUAGAUGACUACAGGCUACAGUGAAAGGAUUUGAAAUUUGUAUUCAAGAAAAAUGAAUUCCACUUAUACCUUGCCAUUUACUGCCUAUGUGACUUAGACUAGAUCAUUUGACCUUUAGGAGCUUUGGUUUCUUCAUGGAGUUGCUAUGAAGGUGAGAAUUAAUACAUGAGUGAAUGAAAAAGUAUUUAUUAAGCAGCUCCCAUAUACCAAGCACUGUGCUACUAAGCAUUAAAGAUACAUAAACAAAUGUGAAGAUUGUUCCUGCCCUCAUUCUAAUAGGAGGAGGCAACACAAAUAGGGGGAAUGGUCACCACAAGGGGAUAUUUUUACUUAGAAAGUUAUAAGGAGGUAAGUGCAGCCAUAGGAGAGUCGAUUGAUACACCCUUUCAGUAGCAGUGGUAGUGCUGAUUUGAUUACAGUUCCAGGAUGGAAAUGACAAACGGGCAAGCGAUGGUGGAAGAGUAAAGUGAACCAUGACUAGAGCAAGCAUUCUGGUGUAGAGGGCCACAUGGGAGGCACUCAUUGAUAAAGACCUCAUGAGAACCAAGGCAGGAGUUCUGGAGCUGAAAGGAUUAAGGCUUUCAGAGCAUGUUUUCUGGAUCAGGUGCCAACAUGGCUGAUGGAAAGGUGGUGGUAAAGAUGAAAUAAGAGAAUCUAUGUGAAAGGGCAUGGAAAACUGUAAAGUGCCAAAUAAAUAUAAAAAUAUAUUCUAAUUUUUCUGUUUUCUUGAGCAUAGCUGUAACUUGAAAUCUAGCACCAGGGUCAAAUUUAGUUGAGCAGAGAGGACAUGGAGAUCUUGAAGCCACUUUGAGUGAGGUACUGGCAUUACCAACCAAGCAGCUGAUCAACCAAUAAGGGUUUAAGUACUUACAAUCUACUAGACACUGUGCUAGAUGCUGUGGGAUAAGAAGGUAAAAAUGAAAUAGUCCUUUCCCUCCAAAAGCUUACAUUCUAGUGGGAGAGAUAACAUAUGCACAAAUAUGUAUAUACAAAAUGUGUACAAAAUAAAAGCAAGAUAACUUUUUUGGGCGAGGCUGAGUAUUAGCUAUUAGAGAAACCAGGAAAGGUUUCAUAUAGAAGACAUCAUUUGAAUUGAGUUUUGAAGGAAACAAAAAAUUCUAAAAAGAUGGAGAUAAGGAGAGAGAUCAUUUCAGGCAGUGCAAAGACAAAGAUGGGAGUGUUGUGUGCAAGGAACAACAAGAAGGUCAUUUUCACCUUAUGACUGAUUGUGGGUGUCAUGAGUAGAAUGGAUCCCCAUGUCUAUUUUUCCUGGUUUUGUUCAGUAGAACGGGCAUGGUGAUGGAGAGAACAUCAGUUCUAGGAUAGAGUCAUGAUUGUUGAAAAACAAUGCAGAGUGAUAGCUACAGUAGGUAAUGCAGGGCUGAUAGAGGACAGCAAAGAUAGGACAAAACCUGUAGCACAAUGGUAGGAAUUAAAGUAUGGAUUAUUCUUUGCACUUCCAUUUCCAGUACCUAGCACAGUGCUUAUUGAUUAUGCAUCAAUAAAAGCUUAUAGAUUGAUUGGUCAAUUUGGGUCUAAUGUCAGGAAAAACUCUAACAAUUAGAACUGUACAAAAGUGGCUUGGGCUGCCUUGGGAGGUGACUGGUACCCUCUCAUUAAAGGAUUACUGAUUGGGUAUAUUAUAGUGGGAAUUCUUUUUCAGGUAGGGUUUAUAUUACAUGGCCAGAGGUUCCUUUUAACUCAAAUUCUGUGAAAGAAAGAGACAUUGCAGAGAGGAAGCAUCCUCUUUGAUACAGAUAUGGGCACUUUGUGCUGGUUAAAAUUCUUCCAAUGAGCAUCUAGAUAUCUGUAGUUUAUAUCUUGCUCUCUUUCAUCAUUAAGGUUUAUUUCCUUUUCUGACUUCCUUUGUGCUUUCCCCACCUCUUUUGUUGAAAAACAAAUGCCCAAAAUCCAAAUCUCUUAAGAGGAUAAGUAAAAAGUGAAGACAAAUGAGAAAUAUAGGUAAGACUGAAGAAGUCAAGAGAAUGAACAAACCCUAAAUACCAUAAGAUCUGGUUAAAUGAAAUAUAAAACUUAUUACUUCAAGCAUGAAAUUACAUUUUUGUUUGUUUUCCUGAAUGUUUCCAACUACAAAAUGAGAGUUUGUGUUCACAAGUCAUAACAUCACUUCCAAAUAAAUGUUUGUAAAUAGCCUACCAGUCACUGAAUCCAAACAAAGUUUCUAUUGUAUUUACCUAAGAGGGAACUUCAGUGUUCCUCACUCAUAAGAGACACUGGCUAAGGGCCACAUUGCUGACUGGUGAGACUGAUGUCUAGAACUUACACUUUCAGGCCUGUGGUAUAGUCCACCAGACCACAUUGCUCCAAUAGCUUUUCUGAAAGAGAACUCUGUUACUUGAAUAGUUUAUUCUGCUCUUCCCUUUGUCUCAUAUUUUGUACUCAAAGAACUCUAUGAGAUUCUUCAUGAGGCCCACCUACUUAAAGACCAUUCAUUUUUGUAAAGGAGUCUAUCCUAACUACAGGGAGCUGGGCAAAGGCACAGAUGGCAAACAUUAAAUUUCUCAAGGACUUAAGGCUGAAAGAGAUAGCUAACAUAUUCCAAGGAGAGUCAAAAUCCAACAAAGUUUUCAAUAGUGUAGGAUGUUUGACUGAAUCUACUUACACUUACUAGGAAUAAAUGUGAAAUUCUACUCCUGAGUACAAAAAAUCAAUUUCACAAGUACAAACUAGAGGAGCAUGUUUAGGCACAAUUGGACGUGGUGCUUUUAGUCAGCUGUAAGGUCAAUAUGACUCAACAGUGUGAUAUGAAAGCCAACACAAACAACUCUAGGAUACAUUCAGGGAGGAAGAGCCACAUCUGAAAUACUGUGUUCAGCUUGGGGUGGCAUCAUCUUUUAUGAAGGUUAUUGAGUUGGUGGAAUACAUACUUUGUUGGGGUAAGGCCUUGAAAUACACUGUAUGAAGAUCAGUUGAAGGAACUGGAGAUGUUCAUGGAAGAAGAAUGAAUAGUGUUUUACUUGGCUCCAGAGGGUAGAAGUUGGAGAGAUGUGGAUUUUAGCUUGAUGUAAGGAAAACCACCUAAAAGAGUUUUCUAAAAGUAGAACAGGCUUCCUCCAAAGGUAAUGGGUUCUGUUACUUCAGGACACCAGGUGGGGGUUGGAUAAUGAUGUUUUAGAGAUGAUAUAAAGAAGAUUCUGCUAUAAGUAUAGAUUGAAUUAGAACUGAGCUCCCUUCUGAUAUUGCAAUUCUAUGUGAAUUUGUGAUCGUGACUUGUAUUGGUUACUAAACUUAACUUGUUCAUCACUUAUGUUUACCUCACUGGCUUUCCUAGGAUCAAGCUCCAUCCAAGAGCAGAAAAUCAGUGUUGAUAUGUCUUGAAAACCCUGUAAGCAUGGGCAUUGUCUUUGCAUACUUUGCCUACGGUUUGUGGAAUCUGCCUAUUCUAAUAACAGAGUGAUUAUAGGAUGAUGUCAGGUUCAAUAAGUCAAAUGCUCAGUGUUCAAAAGAGUACAUUCUACUUCUCAUUCGCUGUUCACCUUUUCACUCUCCCCAAAAAAGUUACUUUGCUCUGGGGCCUAGACUUGCUCAUCAAUCAGAUAAAGACAUUAUAAAUUUGUCUUAUAGCUAUUGAGAGGAAGAAUUAAUACUGAAAUAGGAAAAGUAUGUCUGUAGGCAGAGUAAUAAGAUUGAACUUGAGUCGGCUGUCUUGUAAAGAUAUAACUGUGACAUUCAACUCCAAAAAAAUCCAUUUUUACAUAAUACUCCUCAGAAAGCCAGGUUUGUUAAAUAGAACUGACUGGUAAAGAAUAUUUGAACGAUAAUAUUUGCUUCUUUAUUGGCUCAAACAUCCAGUCACUUGUAAAUUGUUGCCAUUUUGUCCUUCAUAAUAUCUCUCACAUUUUUUUUUUGCCCCAUUACAAUGGCCACAAAGCCCUUAUCUCUUCACACCUGAACUAUUUAAUGGUCUUCUAUCUCAUAUCCCUGCCUUGAGGCAAUGUCCCUCUAAUCUAAGGGUUCUGAAUAUUUUCAGUGCUUUGGACUCAUUGGGCAGUCCGGUAAAACCUAUGGACCCCUUCUCAGAAUAAUAUCUUUAAAUCACACAAUAAAAUACAUAGGAUUAUAAAGUAAACCAAUUAUAAUGAAAUACAGUUAAAAAUAUUUUUUAAAAGAUUGCAUGGCCCUUUGAUCCAGUCAUAGCACUGCUGGGUUUAUGCCCCAAAGAAAUAAUAAGGAAAAAGACUUGUACAAGAUUAUUGAUAGAUGCUUUCUUUGUGGUGACAUAAUUGGAAAAUGAGGGGAUGCCCCUCAAUUGGGGAAUGGCUGAACAAAUUGUGGUAUCUGUUGGUGAUGGAAUACUAUUGUGCCCAAAGGAAUAAUAAACUGGAGGAAUUCCAUGUGAACUGGAACAAAUUCCAGGAAUUGAUACAGAAUGAAAGGAGCAGAAUCAAGAGAACAUUGUACACAGACUGAUAACACUGUCGCACAAUCAAAUGUAAUGGACUUCUCUACUAGCAGCAAUGCAAUGAUCCAGGACAAUUUGGAGGGACUUAUGAGAAAGAACACUAUCAACAUCCAGAGAAAGAACUGUGGGAGUAGAAACAUAGAAUAAAAACAACUGCUUGAUCACACGGGUCAAUGAGGAUAUGAUUGGGGAUAUAGACUCUAAAUUCUCACCCUAGUGCAAAUAUCAAUAAUAUGGAAAUAGGUUUUGAUCAAUGACACAUGUAAAACCCAGUGGAAUUGCUCUUUGGCU
Monodelphis domestica (gray short-tailed opossum) is the source of this 5067-nucleotide non-coding RNA. Lineage: Eukaryota; Metazoa; Chordata; Mammalia; Didelphimorphia; Didelphidae. The record is from RefSeq and is a predicted model, not a curated record.